GAUGAACGCUGGCGGCGUGCCUAAUACAUGCAAGUCGAGCGAACGGACGAGAAGCUUGCUUCUCUGAUGUUAUCGGCGGACGGGUGAGUAACACGUGGAUAACCUACCUAUAAGACUGGGAUAACUUCGGGAAACCGUAGCUAAUACCGGAUAAUAUUUUGAACCGCAUGGUUCAAAAGUGAAAGACGGUCUUGCUGUCACUUAUAGAUGGAUCCGCGCUGCAUUAGCUAGUUGGUAAGGUAACGGCUUACCAAGGCAACGAUGCAUAGCCGACCUGAGAGGGUGAACGGCCACACUGGAACUGAGACACGGUCCAGACUCCUACGGGAGGCAGCAGUAGGGAAUCUUACGCAAGGGGCGAGAGCCGGACGGAGCAACGCCGCGUGAGGGAUGACGGUCUUCGGAUCGUAAAACUCUGUUAUUAGGGAAGAACAUAUGUGUAAGUAACUGUGCACAUCUUGACGGUACCUAAUCAGAAAGCCACGGCUAACUACGUG
RNAcentral lists this ribosomal RNA (497 nucleotides) under uncultured bacterium. RNAcentral's name for it is "partial 16S ribosomal RNA". It matches the Rfam family "Bacterial small subunit ribosomal RNA", at positions 28 to 507 of the family's 1533-position model. The record is from RNAcentral.